AACCAACAGGGAUUGCCCCAGUAGCGGCGAGUGAAGCGGCAAGAGCUCAGAUUUGAAAUCGUGCUAAUUUUUUUGGCACGAGUUGUAGAGUGUAGGCGGGAGUCUUUGUGGAGCACGGUGUUCAAGUCCCUUGGAACAGGGCGCCUGAGAGGGUGAGAGCCCCGUGGGGUGCCGUGCGAAGCUCUGAGGCCCUGCUGACGAGUCGAGUUGUUUGGGAAUGCAGCUCCAAGUGGGUGGUAAAUUCCAUCUAAGGCUAAAUACUGGCGAGAGACCGAUAGCGAACAAGUACUGUGAAGGAAAGAUGAAAAGCACUUUGAAAAGAGAGUGAAACAGCACGUGAAAUUGUUGAAAGGGAAGGGUAUUGGGCCCGACAUGGGGAGUGCGCACCGCUGUCUCUUGUAGGCGGCGCUCUGGGCGCUCUCUGGGCCAGCAUCGGUUCUUGCUGCGGGAGAAUGGGUGCCGGAAAGUGGCUCUUCGGAGUGUUAUAGCCGGCGCCAGAUACCGCGUGC
RNAcentral lists this ribosomal RNA (509 nucleotides) under Pichia membranifaciens. Its description in RNAcentral is "LSU rRNA". It matches the Rfam family "Eukaryotic large subunit ribosomal RNA", at positions 63 to 578 of the family's 3401-position model. Lineage: Eukaryota; Fungi; Ascomycota; Pichiomycetes; Pichiales; Pichiaceae. The record is from RNAcentral.